CGGCGGACGGGUGAGUAACGCGUGAGUAACCUCGCCAUAAGGAGGGGAAUAACACAGCGAAAGUUGUGCUAAUACCGCAUAAUAUGUAUUUUACCGCAUGAUAGAAUCAUCAAAGAUUUAUCGCUUAUGGAUGGACUCGCGUCUGAUUAGCUAGAUGGUGGGGUAACGGCCUACCAUGGCGACGAUCGGUAGCCGAACUGAGAGGUUGAUCGGCCGCAUUGGGACUGAGACACGGCCCAGACUCCUACGGGGAGGCAGCAGGUGGGGGAUAUUGCACAAUGGGCGAAAGCCUGAUGCAGCGACGCCGCGUGAAGGAUGAAGUAUUUCGGUAUGUAAACUUCUAUCAGCAGGGAAGAAAUGACGGUACCUGACUAAGAAGCCCCGGCUAACUACGUG
This 396-nucleotide ribosomal RNA is filed under the name uncultured bacterium. RNAcentral describes it as "bacterial SSU rRNA". It matches the Rfam family "Bacterial small subunit ribosomal RNA", at positions 96 to 507 of the family's 1533-position model. The record is from RNAcentral.